RNAcentral lists this long non-coding RNA (934 nucleotides) under Gallus gallus (chicken). RNAcentral's name for it is "long non-coding RNA NONGGAT004605". The record is from RNAcentral. Lineage: Eukaryota; Metazoa; Chordata; Aves; Galliformes; Phasianidae.
GCUGGUGUUGUCUGCUGUCUCCGUAAUUUUUGACCAAAAUUUCCUGGAUGGAUGUGAAAAAAACGGCAUCAUGCUUGGUUUUCAUGAAAGUAAUGCAGUGAGCAAGGUCCAAUGAGAGAGGGCAGGGAGGUGAAGCCAGGGUCUGCCCCUAGGAAUGAAUGGUGGCUGCUCCUUUGUUGCUUUGUGUGUCUCCUGCAGCCUGGCAGAUGGGCAUGAAUCGACGUGUUUGUUGCAAAUCCUUGUCCUCUGCCUGAAAGAGUAAGGAAAUGGGAGGCCUUUGACUGCUCUACUGAUAAGGUCAUUUAUGCCCACCUGUUUUUCAUCAUUGUUUUCCUGGGCUGAAAUGUCCAUGCUUGUGCUUUGAAGGGAGCUCUGUUAUCUGUGUGUGCAGUCCGCUGUGUCACCUGCAAUCCCAUUGCUGUCCCAGAUAGAGUGAUGAAUUUGCUGGUGUUGGCCUCUGUCUCUGCAUUUUUGACCAGAGUUUCCUGGAUGGAUGUGAAAAAUACUGCAUCAGGCUUGGAUAUCAUGGAAGUAGUGUGGCCCCUGCCUUGGAGUUCUGGGAAGAGGUUGCCAUGAUGAGUUUAUCUAAUGCGUCAGGAGCCGCUGCUGUCAUGCAAGUGAGCAGGUGUGCAAGGUGUGAGAGGAGAGGGCAGGGAUGAGAAGAUUGGUAUUGCCCUGACUUGAUAGCACAUGGCUGCUCCUCCUUUCUUGCUUUGUGUGUCCUUAUAUCCUACCUCUCUGCUCUGUACUGUUGUGUUUGUUAUGUUCACUUGUCUUCUGCAUACUGUUAGGAAAUGGAUAGAUGGUAUUUCUUUUCUGGGAUGUUAAAUCAUUGCAAGUCAUUAUCCAUUAUUUACUUUCCUGUGGUGUUAAAGCUGCUUUACUCAAGUUUUUAAGUCUCUGUUGCCUCGCCAUAAGACCCUCAUGAGCUUCU